This is a non-coding RNA of Pangasianodon gigas (Mekong giant catfish), 73 nucleotides long. Lineage: Eukaryota; Metazoa; Chordata; Actinopteri; Siluriformes; Pangasiidae. The record is from the annotation of a GenBank genome assembly.
GCCAAAAUAGCUCAGGUGAGAGUGCAUUAGACUCAAGCUCUAGAGGUCCCUGGUUCAAUUCUGGGUUUUGGCA